This 502-nucleotide ribosomal RNA is filed under the name uncultured bacterium. Its description in RNAcentral is "partial 16S ribosomal RNA". It matches the Rfam family "Bacterial small subunit ribosomal RNA", at positions 355 to 847 of the family's 1533-position model. The record is from RNAcentral.
UAGGGAAUCUUCGGCAAUGGGGGCAACCCUGACCGAGCAACGCCGCGUGAGUGAAGAAGGUUUUCGGAUCGUAAAGCUCUGUUGUAAGUCAAGAACGGGUGUGAGAGUGGAAAGUUCACACUGUGACGGUAGCUUACCAGAAAGGGACGGCUAACUACGUGCCAGCAGCCGCGGUAAUACGUAGGUCCCGAGCGUUGUCCGGAUUUAUUGGGCGUAAAGCGAGCGCAGGCGGUUUGAUAAGUCUGAAGUUAAAGGCUGUGGCUCAACCAUAGUUCGCUUUGGAAACUGUCAAACUUGAGUGCAGAAGGGGAGAGUGGAAUUCCAUGUGUAGCGGUGAAAUGCGUAGAUAUAUGGAGGAACACCGGUGGCGAAAGCGGCUCUCUGGUCUGUAACUGACGCUGAGGCUCGAAAGCGUGGGGAGCGAACAGGAUUAGAUACCCUGGUAGUCCACGCCGUAAACGAUGAGUGCUAGGUGUUGGAUCCUUUCCGGGGAUUCAGUGCC